RNAcentral lists this ribosomal RNA (429 nucleotides) under Chloroflexota bacterium. RNAcentral describes it as "Chloroflexi bacterium partial 16S ribosomal RNA". It matches the Rfam family "Bacterial small subunit ribosomal RNA", at positions 355 to 776 of the family's 1533-position model. The record is from RNAcentral. Lineage: Bacteria; Bacillati; Chloroflexota.
UGGGGAAUAUUGCACAAUGGGCGCAAGCCUGAUGCAGCCAUGCCGCGUGUGUGAAGAAGGCCUUCGGGUUGUAAAGCACUUUCAGCGGGGAGGAAGGCGAUAAGGUUAAUAACCUUGUCGAUUGACGUUACCCGCAGAAGAAGCACCGGCUAACUCCGUGCCAGCAGCCGCGGUAAUACGGAGGGUGCAAGCGUUAAUCGGAAUUACUGGGCGUAAAGCGCACGCAGGCGGUCUGUCAAGUCGGAUGUGAAAUCCCCGGGCUUAACCUGGGAACUGCAUUUGAAACUGGCAGGCUAGAGUCUUGUAGAGGGGGGUAGAAUUCCAGGUGUAGCGGUGAAAUGCGUAGAGAUCUGGGGGAAUACCGGUGGCGAAGGCGGCCCCCUGGACAAAGACUGAAGCUUAGGUGCGAAAGCGUGGGGAGCAAACAGG